Molecule: non-coding RNA, 642 nt
Organism: Tachysurus vachellii
Lineage: Eukaryota; Metazoa; Chordata; Actinopteri; Siluriformes; Bagridae
Source: the annotation of a RefSeq genome assembly
AUGUUCCUUCCAGUUCUGCUGCUGCUGGCAGCUUCAUCCUAUGUGGAAUGUGCAGUAGAGCUCACUCAGGACACCUCAGUGAUGUUAAAGCCUGGAGAUUCUUUAAUCCUCAGCUGUAAAGUAUCCGGUUACUCAGUUACUGAUAACAGCUACGCCACAGCUUGGAUUCGACAACCUGCAGGGAAAACUCUGGAAUGGAUAAACCACAUUUGGGGAGGUGGAAGCACGUAUCAUAAAGAGUCUCUAAAAAGCAAGUUCAGUAUUUCUAAAGAUGCCUCCAGCAGCACGGUGACACUGAGAGGACAGAACAUGCAGACUGAAUACACAGUUGUGUAUUACUGCAUCCACAAUGUAGUCAAUGAAGACAAUGUACCACUUAAACUGCUUGACAUUGGAUUUGGUGGUGUUGGAGGUGUGGAGCUCACUCAGACAGACUCUGUGCUGGUGAAGCCUGGAGAGUCUUUCUCCAUCUCUUGUAAGAUCUCAGUGUCGAGUUAUUGUAUUAACUGGAUACGGCAACCUGCUGGAAAAGCACUGGAAUGGCUCGGAUAUCUGUGUAACGGUGAUAGCACUGAUCUCAAAGACACGAUGAAGAGAAGAUCAGUCUCAGCCAGGACAAAUCCAGCAGCACAGUUUAUUUAA